UCUGAGGUUAGUCUCUCGGGUCUGGUGUUAUGUGCCCAUACCUCAUGUGGCCCUUGGAGUCACAAGUCACUACAUUUCCCUUUGAGCCCCUAAUAACCUACAAAGGAGUUGGAGAUAAAUUGGCUGCAGCCCCUUCCCCAGUGAUCACCAAAAGCCUAUCCACCCUAGAGCCAGGUCUGGCUAGGGUGCAGCUGCUCACACUGUUGUCCUCCUAGGAUUGUCAAAACCCCUGCUGCAAUGCCACCACUUGCCAGCUGGCCAAGGGGGCAGAGUGUGCCCAUGGUGCCUGUUGUCAUGAAUGCAAGGUGAAGCCAGCUGGUGAGCUGUGUCGUCCUAUGAAGGACAAAUGUGACCUGGAGGAGUUCUGUGAUGGCCAGAAGCCAACAUGUCCUGAAGAUGCCUUCCAACAGAAUGGUACCCCCUGUCCAGGGGGCUACUGCUUUGACGGGAGCUGCCCCACACUGGCACAGCAGUGCCAGGCUCUGUGGGGGCCAGGUGCCCGGGCAGCAUCCGACUCCUGCUUUGCCUUUAGCAUUCCUCAGGGCUGCUAUGGGAGUAUGUACCCUAGCAGGAUCAACCGAUGUGGGGUGCUGUUCUGUGAGGGAGGCCAGAAACCUCUUGAACGUUCCUCCUGCACUUUCUCUUCCCACCAUGGACUCUGCCAAGCUCUCCAGACUGACAGCAAC
This 686-nucleotide long non-coding RNA is filed under the name Rattus norvegicus (Norway rat). RNAcentral's name for it is "long non-coding RNA NONRATT003319". The record is from RNAcentral. Lineage: Eukaryota; Metazoa; Chordata; Mammalia; Rodentia; Muridae.